RNAcentral lists this non-coding RNA (22 nucleotides) under Arabidopsis thaliana (thale cress). Lineage: Eukaryota; Viridiplantae; Streptophyta; Magnoliopsida; Brassicales; Brassicaceae. The record is from RNAcentral.
UCAAAUAAUUCGGGUCAAUUCU